RNAcentral lists this ribosomal RNA (422 nucleotides) under uncultured bacterium. RNAcentral's name for it is "bacterial SSU rRNA". It matches the Rfam family "Bacterial small subunit ribosomal RNA", at positions 362 to 776 of the family's 1533-position model. The record is from RNAcentral.
UAUUGGACAAUGGGCGCAAGCCUGAUCCAGCAAUGCCGCGUGGGUGAAGAAGGCCUUCGGGUUGUAAAGCCCUUUUGUACGGAAAGAAAUCCUGGUGGUUAAUACCCGCCGGGGAUGACGGUACCGUAAGAAUAAGCACCGGCUAACUUCGUGCCAGCAGCCGCGGUAAUACGAAGGGUGCAAGCGUUAAUCGGAAUUACUGGGCGUAAAGCGUGCGUAGGUGGUUUCUUAAGUCUGUCGUGAAAGCCCUGGGCUCAACCUGGGAAUGGCGAUGGAUACUGGGAGGCUAGAGUGCGGUAGAGGAUGGCGGAAUUCCCGGUGUAGCGGUGAAAUGCGUAGAGAUCGGGAGGAACAUCUGUGGCGAAGGCGGCCAUCUGGACCAGCACUGACACUGAGGCACGAAAGCGUGGGGAGCAAACAGG